RNAcentral lists this ribosomal RNA (735 nucleotides) under uncultured bacterium. RNAcentral's name for it is "bacterial SSU rRNA". It matches the Rfam family "Bacterial small subunit ribosomal RNA", at positions 28 to 755 of the family's 1533-position model. The record is from RNAcentral.
AUUGAACGCUAGCGGCAUGCUUAACACAUGCAAGUCGAACGGUAACAGGUCUAGCUUGCUAGAUGCUGACGAGUGGCGAACGGGUGAGUAAUGCGUAGGAAUCUGCCUUGUAGUGGGGGAUAACCUAGGGAAACUUAGGCUAAUACCGCAUGUGCCCUAAGGGGUAAAGCAGGGGAUCUUCGGACCUUGUGCUAUAAGAUGAGCCUACGUCGGAUUAGCUUGUUGGUGAGGUAAUGGCUCACCAAGGCGACGAUCCGUAGCUGGUCUGAGAGGAUGAUCAGCCACACUGGGACUGAGACACGGCCCAGACUCCUACGGGAGGCAGCAGUGGGGAAUAUUGGACAAUGGGCGCAAGCCUGAUCCAGCAAUGCCGCGUGUGUGAAGAAGGCCUGCGGGUUGUAAAGCACUUUCGGUGGGGAGGAAGGUCUUAAUGCUAUAUCAUUAAGAAUUGACGUUACCUACAGAAGAAGCACCGGCUAACUCUGUGCCAGCAGCCGCGGUAAUACAGAGGGUGCGAGCGUUAAUCGGAAUUACUGGGCGUAAAGCGUGCGUAGGUGGCUGAAUAAGUCAGAUGUGAAAGCCCUGGGCUUAACCUGGGAAUUGCGUUUGGUACUGUUUGGCUAGAGGAUGAGAGAGGGAAGUGGAAUUUCCGGUGUAGCGGUGAAAUGCGUAGAUAUCGGAAGGAACACCAGUGGCGAAGGCGACUUCCUGGAUCAUAUCUGACACUGAGGCACG